AGGAAAACCUUGGUGCCUUGGGAGGGGCCCGCGGCCUAUCAGGUAGUUGGUGAGGUAACGGCUCACCAAGCCGACGACGGGUAGGGGGCGUGAGAGCGUGGCCCCCCACACGGGAACUGAGACACGGUCCCGACGCCUACGGGCGGCAGCAGUGAGGAAUCUUGCCCAAUGGGGGAAACCCUGAGGCAGCGACACCGCGUGCGGGAUGAAGGCCUUCGGGUCGUAAACCGCUUUUCUGGGGGACGAGUAAGGACGGUACUCCAGGAAUAAGUCCCGGCUAACUACGUGCCAGCAGCCGCGGUAAAACGUAGGGGGCGAGCGUUAUCCGGAAUCACUGGGCGUAAAGGGCGUCUAGGCGGCAGCCUAAGUCCCGUGUGAAAGCUCCCGGCUCAACUGGGAGAGGGCAUGGGAGACUGGGCAGCUAGAGACUCGGAGGGGGGUGUGGAAUUCCCGGUGGAGUGGUGGAAUGCGUUGAGAUCGGGAGGAACACCAGUAGCGAAGGCGGCACCCUGGCCGAGAUCUGACGCUGAAGCGCGAGAGCGUGGGGAGCGAACGGGAUUAGAUACCCCGGUAGUCCACGCCGUAAACGAUGACAACUAGGUGUUGGGUGUCCAAGGAUGCUCAGUACCGCAGCAAACGC
RNAcentral lists this ribosomal RNA (640 nucleotides) under uncultured bacterium. RNAcentral's name for it is "bacterial SSU rRNA". It matches the Rfam family "Bacterial small subunit ribosomal RNA", at positions 200 to 858 of the family's 1533-position model. The record is from RNAcentral.